This 361-nucleotide RNase P RNA is filed under the name Chloroflexota bacterium. Its description in RNAcentral is "Chloroflexi bacterium RNase P RNA component class A". It matches the Rfam family "Bacterial RNase P class A". From Rfam's summary of the family: Ribonuclease P (RNase P) is a ubiquitous endoribonuclease, found in archaea, bacteria and eukarya as well as chloroplasts and mitochondria. Its best characterised activity is the generation of mature 5'-ends of tRNAs by cleaving the 5'-leader elements of precursor-tRNAs. The record is from RNAcentral. Lineage: Bacteria; Bacillati; Chloroflexota.
CAAGUUGGCUAGGUGAUCGCGCUGUUGGUUCUAUCAACAGUGAGGAAAGUCCGUGCUUCAUAGGGUACGAUGCUAGCUAACCGCUAGGCAGGGUGACCUGACGGAAAGUGCCACAGAGAAGUAGAUUGCCCAAGUGUUACUUGGGUGAGGGUGAAACGGUGUGGUAAGAGCACACCAGCGUCACUGGUGACAGUGGCGGCUUGGCAAACCCCAUCGGAAGCAAGACCAAGCAAAGGUGAGGGGUGACCCGCCCCGCUAUCAGCCUUGGGUAGGUCGCAUGAGGUGUCGAGUGAUCGGCACCCUAGAUAGAUGAUCACCGCCCGUAAGGGUACAGAACACGGCUUAUCGGCCAACUUGGGGU